MicroRNA precursor from Chlorocebus sabaeus (green monkey), 84 nucleotides. The record is from Ensembl. NCBI's taxonomy places the organism in Eukaryota, Metazoa, Chordata, Mammalia, Primates, Cercopithecidae.
UUAGGUUGGUGCAAAAGUUAUUGCGGUUUUUGCCAUUGACAGUAAUGGGAAAACCCACAACUACUUUUGCACCAACUUAAUGAA